Molecule: ribosomal RNA, 207 nt
Filed under: uncultured bacterium
Lineage: Bacteria
Description: partial 16S ribosomal RNA
Rfam family: Bacterial small subunit ribosomal RNA
Source: RNAcentral
UGCGUAGGCGGUUGAGUAAGUCUGGCGUGAAAUCUCCGAGCCCAACUCGGAAACUGCGUUGGAUACUAUUUAGCUAGAGGAGUGGAGGGGAGACUGGAAUACUUGGUGUAGCAGUGAAAUGCGUAGAUAUCAAGUGGAACACCAGUGGCGAAGGCGAGUCUCUGGACACAUCCUGACGCUGAGGCACGAAAGCCAGGGGAGCAAACG